Molecule: ribosomal RNA, 477 nt
Filed under: uncultured bacterium
Lineage: Bacteria
Description: partial 16S ribosomal RNA
Rfam family: Bacterial small subunit ribosomal RNA
Source: RNAcentral
AUUAACGCUGGCGGCGUGCAUAACACCUGCAAGUCGAACGAUGAAACUCAUUAGAUUUCUUCGGAAUGAAAAUGAAUGGAUUAGUGGCGAACGGGUGAGUAACGCGUGAGUAACCUGCCUUACACAAGGGGAUAGCCUCUGGAAACGGAGAAUAAUACCCUAUGAAACCAGACAAUCGCAUGAUAAUCUGGUCAAAAUGUUUAGUGGUGUAAGAUGGACUUGCGUCUGAUUAGCUAGUUGGUGAGAUAAAAGCUCACCAAGGCAACGAUCAGUAGCCGGCUUGAGAGAGUGUACGGCCACAUUGGGACUGAGACACGGCCCAGACUCCUACGGGAGGCAGCAGUGGGGAAUUUUGCACAAUGGGGGAAACCCUGAUGCAGCGACGCCGCGUGAUUUAGAAGGCCUUCGGGUUGUAAAAAUCUUUUGUAUAGGAAGAAAAUGACAGUACUAUACGAAUAAGGUCCGGCUAAUUACGUG